CAGCGAAACCGCCCGCAAGGGUGGUCUGCCGGGCGUGGUGGCCGGCACUGAUGAGCAGCCAGAC
This 64-nucleotide non-coding RNA is filed under the name Paludibacterium denitrificans. The record is from RNAcentral. Lineage: Bacteria; Pseudomonadati; Pseudomonadota; Betaproteobacteria; Neisseriales; Chromobacteriaceae.